CAUCAAUCCACUUCCAUCUCCCACCUUCAGCUCUCAGGCCAAACCAGUAUCCAUCAGUUCCUGAACUACCCACGCUGUAUUUAUUGAGAGCAGUCUGACAAGAGAGAAAUACAGGGGAGAUUGCAAAG
Long non-coding RNA from Sander lucioperca (pikeperch), 128 nucleotides. RefSeq lists it as uncharacterized. The transcript is spliced from 3 exons. The record is from RefSeq and is a predicted model, not a curated record. NCBI's taxonomy places the organism in Eukaryota, Metazoa, Chordata, Actinopteri, Perciformes, Percidae.